This is a long non-coding RNA of Oncorhynchus tshawytscha (Chinook salmon), 1938 nucleotides long. The record is from Ensembl. Lineage: Eukaryota; Metazoa; Chordata; Actinopteri; Salmoniformes; Salmonidae.
GUUUAUCCCACUGGGGAAACUCCGUUAUCCUUUCCUUGUUACUAUCUACUGUUUGUUUAUGCAUUUCUGUGAAUUAAUUCGUUAGUAAAUCAAUGAUUUAAGACAAUUGAUGUAUGGAUGACUCAUAGUGAAGACUGGGUUCGUGCUGAUAACCAACAAUUUACGACGUUUGGAAUGAGACUAACGUGAGCUGGCCCAUCUUGCGGAAAUCUCUCAAUUCUGCCUCAAGGACAAGACUCAUCCCAAUAAACAUCAACCUGCUUAACAGGCAUUAGAUUUUUCCAUCUAUUGCAGGAUAAAUCAAUGUUAGAAUAUACAUAGCUGGACAUAAAUGGAUGCUGCAUUUUACUUUAUGGGUUGGUUAUGUAGGCUUCUUCUAGCCUAUUGCUUUAUACUACAGAUAAUUAUACGAUUAGGCUAUAUCUUUACAUUAAACACAGAGUCUGUCAGAUUUCCAGUCAUUCCAGUUAAUUUAAUACUCCUUGAUCUUCAAGAAUGGGACUUGGAAAUAUAGAUUACCAAAUUGUUUUAGCUGAGCAUAACCACAAAACUAAGGGCUAAUUAGGUUAGGUCAGGGUGUGACGAGGGUGGUAACAGUGUGUUUGUCCUGUCUAGGAUUUUUGUAUGUUUAUGGGGUUUUCUGAUCUAGGUGUUUUUAUGUCUAUGGUUGCCUAGAUUGGUUCUCAGUCAAUCAGAGGCAGCUGUUUAUCGUUGUCUCUGAUUGGGGACCAUAUUUAGGUAGCCAUAUUCCUUGGGUAUUUCGUGGGUUAUUGUCUAUGGUUAGUUGCAUGUCAGCACUCGUUAUAUAUAGCUUCACGUUUGUUUUGUUGUUUUGUAUAGUUUGUUUAAGUGUUCUUUGUUUUCAUCUAUAUGAUGAAUGUGACAGGCGCGUAAUUCAAAUAAAUAAUCGUAAAAAUUAUGGAUAUUAAACAUCUAGGUACAUACAAGUGUCUUAUAUCGUUUUAAAGCUUAAAUUCUUGUUAAAGCAUGCCAUGCGAUUGUUUAAGGACGGCGCCCCACAUCGAGAUAUUUUUCAACCAGCACAGGCUUCGUAAAAUCAAAAAUAGUGAUUAAAUAUUCACUUACUUUUUGAAAAUCUUCCUCUAAUUUCCAAUCCCAAGGGUCCCAGCUACAACAUGCAUGAUCGUUUUGUUAGAUAAAAUCCUUCUUUAUAUCCCAAAAAGUCUGUUUAGUUGGCGCCAUCGAUUUGAGUAAUCCACUCUUUCAACUUGCAGAGAAUGGAAUCUAAAAAGCUCUAUGUUUAAACAGGUCAAAAUAUGUUUCUAUUCAAACCCCAGGUACCCUAAAAUGUCAUUAAACUAUUAUUUUUCAUACGGAAAGAAGUAUGUUCAAUAGAAAAGCUAAAUUAGCAAGUGCCACCAGACUGAUUUCCAACUCUGACUCCCUGUACCAAAACUCAAAAUUCUUCCUCGUUUGGGAAGAAACAAGCCUGAAACCUAGAACAAAGACUGCUGACAUCUAGUGGAAGGCAUAGGAAUUGCAAUCUUGGAGCUGGAAUUGCAUAGCUUUCCGUUGAAAGAGCAUGGGCUCAAUUGUUUUUUUCCGAGUUGGUUUUACUUUGUAUUUUUGGCUACCAUAUCAAUUGUGUUAUAGUCUCAUACAUUAUUUUAACAUUUCUACAAACCUCCAAGUGUUUUCUAUCAAAUGGUACCACUUAUAUGCAUAUCCUGGCUUCUGGGCCUGAGUAACAGGCAGUUUACUUUGGGUACAUCAGUCAGAUAGGAAGUGGAGAAAAAUAGACCCGAGCCUGAAGAAGAUUUAUAAUUAUUAAACUUGUUUUUGUCAGUAUGGAGAACAAUACCAUGGGGGAGUUUAGAAGGGAGGAACUCAAACUUGUAUUCCAUAGGCUGGGAUCCACACUAUGCAGCUGUUACAUUUUUCACUGGCUGUCCACUGGGGAUUAGCCUAGGCCUAGUC